Molecule: ribosomal RNA, 253 nt
Filed under: uncultured bacterium
Lineage: Bacteria
Also listed under: 1 other name
Description: partial 16S ribosomal RNA
Rfam family: Bacterial small subunit ribosomal RNA
Source: RNAcentral
GACGAACCAUGCAAACGUUAUUCGGAUUCACUGGGCUUAAAGCGUGCGUAGGCGGUCUUGUUAGUCAGGUGUGAAAGCCCUCAGCCCAACUGAGGAAUUGCGCUUGAUACUGCAUGACUUGAGAGAGAUAGAGGUGGGUGGAACUGAUGGUGGAGCGGUGAAAUGCGUUGAUAUCAUCAGGAACACCAGUGGCGAAGGCGACCCACUGGGUCUCUUCUGACGCUGAGGUACGAAAGCUAGGGUAGCGAACGGG